UUAAGCGACUAAGCGUACACGGUGGAUGCCCUGGCAGUCAGAGGCGAUGAAGGACGUGCUAAUCUGCGAAAAGCGUCGGUAAGGUGAUAUGAACCGUUAUAACCGGCGAUGUCCGAAUGGGGAAACCCAGUGUGAUUCGUCACACUAUCGUUAACUGAAUACAUAGGUUAACGAGGCGAACCGGGGGAACUGAAACAUCUAAGUACCCCGAGGAAAAGAAAUCAACCGAGAUUCCCCCAGUAGCGGCGAGCGAACGGGGAGCAGCCCAGAGUCUGAAUCAGCUUGUGUGUUAGUGGAACGGUCUGGAAAGUCCGACGGUACAGGGUGAUAGUCCCGUACACCAAAAUGCACAGGUUGUGAACUCGAAGAGUAGGGCGGGACACGUGGUAUCCUGUCUGAAUAUGGGGGGACCAUCCUCCAAGGCUAAAUACUCCUGACUGACCGAUAGUGAACCAGUACCGUGAGGGAAAGGCGAAAAGAACCCCGGCGAGGGGAGUGAAAAAGAACCUGAAACCGUGUACGUACAAGCAGUGGGAGCACCUUCGGGUGUGACUGCGUACCUUUUGUAUAAUGGGUCAGCGACUUAUAUUCUGUAGCAAGGUUAACCGUAUAGGGGAGCCGCAGGGAAACCGAGUCUUAACUGGGCGUUAAGUUGCAGGGUAUAGACCCGAAACCCGGUGAUCUAGCCAUGGGCAGGUUGAAGGUUGGGUAACACUAACUGGAGGACCGAACCGACUAAUGUUGAAAAAUUAGCGGAUGACUUGUGGCUGGGGGUGAAAGGCCAAUCAAACCGGGAGAUAGCUGGUUCUCCCCGAAAGCUAUUUAGGUAGCGCCUCGUGAAUUCAUCUUCGGGGGUAGAGCACUGUUUCGGCUAGGGGGUCAUCCCGACUUACCAACCCGAUGCAAACUACGAAUACCGAAGAAUGUUAUCACGGGAGACACACGGCGGGUGCUAACGUCCGUCGUGAAGAGGGAAACAACCCAGACCGCCAGCUAAGGUCCCAAAGUCAUGGUUAAGUGGGAAACGAUGUGGGAAGGCACAGACAGCCAGGAUGUUGGCUUAGAAGCAGCCAUCAUUUAAAGAAAGCGUAAUAGCUCACUGGUCGAGUCGGCCUGCGCGGAAGAUGUAACGGGGCUAAACCAUGCACCGAAGCUGCGGCAGCGACACUAUGUGUUGUUGGGUAGGGGAGCGUUCUGUAAGCCUGCGAAGGUGACCUGUGAGGGUUGCUGGAGGUAUCAGAAGUGCGAAUGCUGACAUAAGUAACGAUAAAGCGGGUGAAAAGCCCGCUCGCCGGAAGACCAAGGGUUCCUGUCCAACGUUAAUCGGGGCAGGGUGAGUCGACCCCUAAGGCGAGGCCGAAAGGCGUAGUCGAUGGGAAACAGGUUAAUAUUCCUGUACUUGGUGUUACUGCGAAGGGGGGACGGAGAAGGCUAUGUUAGCCGGGCGACGGUUGUCCCGGUUUAAGCAUGUAGGCUGGUUAUCCAGGCAAAUCCGGAUAAUCAAGGCUGAGGUGUGAUGACGAGGCACUACGGUGCUGAAGUAACAAAUGCCCUGCUUCCAGGAAAAGCCUCUAAGCAUCAGGUAACAUCAAAUCGUACCCCAAACCGACACAGGUGGUCAGGUAGAGAAUACCAAGGCGCUUGAGAGAACUCGGGUGAAGGAACUAGGCAAAAUGGUGCCGUAACUUCGGGAGAAGGCACGCUGGUGUGUAGGUGAAGCCCCUGCGGGUGGAGCUGAGACCAGUCGAAGAUACCAGCUGGCUGCAACUGUUUAUUAAAAACACAGCACUGUGCAAACACGAAAGUGGACGUAUACGGUGUGACGCCUGCCCGGUGCCGGAAGGUUAAUUGAUGGGGUUAUCCGUAAGGAGAAGCUCUUGAUCGAAGCCCCGGUAAACGGCGGCCGUAACUAUAACGGUCCUAAGGUAGCGAAAUUCCUUGUCGGGUAAGUUCCGACCUGCACGAAUGGCGUAAUGAUGGCCAGGCUGUCUCCACCCGAGACUCAGUGAAAUUGAACUCGCUGUGAAGAUGCAGUGUACCCGCGGCAAGACGGAAAGACCCCGUGAACCUUUACUAUAGCUUGACACUGAACAUUGAGCCUUGAUGUGUAGGAUAGGUGGGAGGCUUUGAAGCGUGGACGCCAGUCUGCGUGGAGCCAACCUUGAAAUACCACCCUUUAAUGUUUGAUGUUCUAACGUUGGCCCCUGACCGGGGUUGCGGACAGUGUCUGGUGGGUAGUUUGACUGGGGCGGUCUCCUCCCAAAGCGUAACGGAGGAGCACGAAGGUUAGCUAAUCCUGGUCGGACAUCAGGAGGUUAGUGCAAUGGCAUAAGCUAGCUUGACUGCGAGCGUGACGGCGCGAGCAGGUGCGAAAGCAGGUCAUAGUGAUCCGGUGGUUCUGAAUGGAAGGGCCAUCGCUCAACGGAUAAAAGGUACUCCGGGGAUAACAGGCUGAUACCGCCCAAGAGUUCAUAUCGACGGCGGUGUUUGGCACCUCGAUGUCGGCUCAUCACAUCCUGGGGCUGAAGUAGGUCCCAAGGGUAUGGCUGUUCGCCAUUUAAAGUGGUACGCGAGCUGGGUUUAGAACGUCGUGAGACAGUUCGGUCCCUAUCUGCCGUGGGCGCUGGAGAAUUGAGGGGGGCUGCUCCUAGUACGAGAGGACCGGAGUGGACGCAUCACUGGUGUUCGGGUUGUCAUGCCAAUGGCACUGCCCGGUAGCUAAAUGCGGAAGAGAUAAGUGCUGAAAGCAUCUAAGCACGAAACUUGCCCCGAGAUGAGUUCUCCCUGAGACUAUAAGUCUCCUGAAGGAACGUUAAAGACGAUGACGUUGAUAGGCCGGGUGUGUAAGCGCAGCGAUGCGUUGAGCUAACCGGUACUAAUGAACCGUGAGGCUUAACCUU
RNAcentral lists this ribosomal RNA (2900 nucleotides) under Klebsiella pneumoniae. RNAcentral describes it as "bacterial LSU rRNA". It matches the Rfam family "Bacterial large subunit ribosomal RNA". Lineage: Bacteria; Pseudomonadati; Pseudomonadota; Gammaproteobacteria; Enterobacterales; Enterobacteriaceae. The record is from RNAcentral.